Molecule: ribosomal RNA, 769 nt
Filed under: uncultured Actinomycetes bacterium
Lineage: Bacteria; Bacillati; Actinomycetota; Actinomycetes
Description: bacterial SSU rRNA
Rfam family: Bacterial small subunit ribosomal RNA
Source: RNAcentral
AGAGUUUGAUUAUGGCUCAGGAUGAACGCUGGCGGCGUGCUUAACACAUGCAAGUCGAACGAGGUCCAACCUUCGGGUGAAGACCGAGUGGCGAACGGGUGAGUAACACGUGGGGAACCUGCCCUUCUCUCUGGGAUAACCUCGGGAAACCGAAGCUAAUACCGGAUACUCCUUGCGGACCGCAUGGUCUGCUCGGGAAAGCUCCGGCGGAGAAGGAUGGCCCCGCGGCCCAUUAGCUUGUUGGUGGGGUAACGGCCCACCAAGGCGACGAUGGGUAGCCGAGCUGAGAGGCUGAUCGGCCACACUGGGACUGAGACACGGCCCAGACUCCUACGGGAGGCAGCAGUGGGGAAUCUUGCGCAAUGGGCGAAAGCCUGACGCAGCAACGCCGCGUGCGGGAUGAAGGCUCUCGGGUCGUAAACCGCUUUCAGCAGGGAUGAAAAUGACAGUACCUGCAGAAGAAGCCCCGGCUAAAUACGUGCCAGCAGCCGCGGUAAUACGUAUGGGGCAAGCGUUAUCCGGAUUCAUUGGGCGUAAAGCGCGCGUAGGCGGCUUGUUAAGUCAGGCGUGAAAUCCGGGGGCUCAACCCGCGGCUUGCGUCUGAAACUGGCAGGCUUGAGUCUGGUAGAGGAAAGUGGAAUUCCUGGUGUAGCGGUGAAAUGCGCAGAUAUCACGAGGAACACCAGUGGCGAAGGCGGCUUUCUGGGCCACGACUGACGCUGAGGCGCGAAGGCUAGGGGAGCGAACAGGAUUAGAUACCCUGGUAGUC